This 469-nucleotide long non-coding RNA is filed under the name Oreochromis niloticus (Nile tilapia). RNAcentral describes it as "lncRNA (ENSONIG00000032894.1)". The record is from RNAcentral. Lineage: Eukaryota; Metazoa; Chordata; Actinopteri; Cichliformes; Cichlidae.
AAAACUGAAUACACUCACAUGAGACACGGACCUUCAUAAUAAAACAGGAAACAAGAAACAACUGCAGAAAGACGCAGACAAGACACAGAACUAAAUCUACACUAAACAUGUGUUCCGCUCUUAAUUUUACUGCAAUAUAGGCGCUCUUUGUAGUGAGCUAAUUUUAUUUUGAAAUUCGUUUUAUUUUGAAAACCAGUUUUGGGAAGUGACAGGAAGUCAGCCAUGUUUGUUUAGUUCUUAGCAGAUCACAUGUGGGGAAAUUUGAUCCAGCGACAUCUGCCUUUUCUUUGUGCCAUCGACACCACCGUCUAUUAGUGGCGUGUAUUCUCAGAUUUACUCAGUAAGUUGUAAAGCAGUUUGCUGAGCCAAGGGGAGAGUCCACUGCUGAGGAGACAGCAGUUACUGCAAGGCGUCAAUAUACAAGACCCCAUGUUCAUAUUUCAUAUUUUUGUUGUUGUCAUUGACAAAU